RNAcentral lists this ribosomal RNA (460 nucleotides) under uncultured bacterium. RNAcentral's name for it is "partial 16S ribosomal RNA". It matches the Rfam family "Bacterial small subunit ribosomal RNA", at positions 338 to 795 of the family's 1533-position model. The record is from RNAcentral.
CCUACGGGCGGCAGCAGUGAGGAAUAUUGGUCAAUGGACGGAAGUCUGAACCAGCCAUGCCGCGUGCAGGAAGACGGCUCUAUGAGUUGUAAACUGCUUUUGUACAAGGGUAAACCUGAAUACGUGUAUUCAGCUGAAAGUACUGUACGAAUAAGGAUCGGCCAACUCCGGGCCAGCAGCCGCGGUAAUACGGAGGAUCCAAGCGUUAUCCGGAUUUAUUGGGUUUAAGGGGUGCGUAGGCGGAUUGAUAAGUUAGAGGGGAAAUGUCCGAGCUUAACUCGGGAACUGCCUCUAAUACUGUUGAUCUAGAGAGUAGAUGCGGUAGGCGGAAUGUAUGGUGGAGCGGUGAAAUGCUUAGAGAUCAUACAGAACACCGAUUGCGAAGGCAGCUUACCAAUCUAUAUCUGACGUGGAGGCACGAAAGCGUGGGGAGCAAACAGGAUUAGAUACCCCGGUAGUC